Molecule: ribosomal RNA, 253 nt
Filed under: uncultured bacterium
Lineage: Bacteria
Description: partial 16S ribosomal RNA
Rfam family: Bacterial small subunit ribosomal RNA
Source: RNAcentral
UACGUAGGGGGCGAGCGUUGUCCGGAAUUAUUGGGCGUAAAGCGCGCGCAGGCGGUUUCUUAAGUCUGCUGUGAAAGCCCGUGGCUCAACCACGGAGGGUCAUUGGAAACUGGGAAGCUUGAGUACAGAAGAGGAGAGUGGAAUUCCACGUGUAGCGGUGAAAUGCGUAGAUAUGUGGAGGAACACCAGUGGCGAAAGCGGCUCUCUGGUCUGUAACUGACGCUGAGGCGCGAAAGCGUGGGGAGCAAACAGG